RNAcentral lists this ribosomal RNA (253 nucleotides) under uncultured bacterium. RNAcentral describes it as "partial 16S ribosomal RNA". It matches the Rfam family "Bacterial small subunit ribosomal RNA", at positions 524 to 776 of the family's 1533-position model. The record is from RNAcentral.
UACGUAGGUGACAAGCGUUGUCCGGAUUUACUGGGCGUAAAGAGCGCGCAGGCGGUCGAUCAAGUCGAGUGUGAAAGCCCCCGGCUCAACUGGGGAGGGUCACGCGAUACUGUUCGACUCGAAGGCAGGAGAGGGAAGUGGAAUUCCCGGUGUAGUGGUGAAAUGCGUAGAUAUCGGGAGGAACACCAGUGGCGAAGGCGACUUCCUGGCCUGUUCUUGACGCUGAGGCGCGAAAGCUAGGGUAGCAAACGGG